GGAGAUAGCUCAAGGGUAGAGCACCUGUCUAGCACAUAUGAGGUCCUGGGAUCAAUUCCCAGCACCA
RNAcentral lists this transfer RNA (67 nucleotides) under Marmota marmota marmota (Alpine marmot). It matches the Rfam family "tRNA". Rfam says of the family: Transfer RNA (tRNA) molecules are approximately 80 nucleotides in length. Their secondary structure includes four short double-helical elements and three loops (D, anti-codon, and T loops). The record is from Rfam by way of RNAcentral. Lineage: Eukaryota; Metazoa; Chordata; Mammalia; Rodentia; Sciuridae. RNAcentral also lists the same sequence under 1 other name.